GGCCUUGGAAGGCGGUCCGGGAACGCCUAUAUUGGUCCUGUCCGGGUUCGCCCGGACUAUGGCGAUAAACGCGCUUGUAAUAAGCGGACCGGACCCGGGUGCGAUUCCCGGCGGCUCCACCAUCUUCUCCCCGCGUUAUCGGCGGAGGCAUAUGGGGCCGACUAGCAUCGACGGACGUGUAAA
RNAcentral lists this transfer-messenger RNA (183 nucleotides) under Alphaproteobacteria bacterium. Its description in RNAcentral is "partial transfer-messenger RNA". It matches the Rfam family "Alphaproteobacteria transfer-messenger RNA", at positions 1 to 178 of the family's 355-position model. From Rfam's summary of the family: Bacterial tmRNA, also known as 10Sa RNA or SsrA, is named for its dual tRNA and mRNA-like properties. The record is from RNAcentral. Lineage: Bacteria; Pseudomonadati; Pseudomonadota; Alphaproteobacteria.